Molecule: transfer RNA, 69 nt
Filed under: Janus sp.
Lineage: Eukaryota; Metazoa; Arthropoda; Insecta; Hymenoptera; Cephidae
Description: tRNA-Thr
Source: RNAcentral
UACUAUAUAGUUUAAAUUAAAACACUAAUUUUGUAAAUUAAUAUUAAAUUAAAAAUAAUUUUAUAGUAA